This 16-nucleotide ribosomal RNA is filed under the name uncultured Eimeria. Its description in RNAcentral is "partial 28S ribosomal RNA". Lineage: Eukaryota; Apicomplexa; Conoidasida; Eucoccidiorida; Eimeriidae. The record is from RNAcentral.
UAGACCUGAAAUCAGC